Molecule: long non-coding RNA, 1516 nt
Filed under: Manacus vitellinus (golden-collared manakin)
Lineage: Eukaryota; Metazoa; Chordata; Aves; Passeriformes; Pipridae
Description: lncRNA (ENSMVIG00005015784.1)
Source: RNAcentral
ACACAUUUGAUUGGGUUUCAUGGAUGAGAACCACUGCUUUCAGUGUUGUCAAAUAACCAUUUUCAAAAAUAAUAGAGUUCUUCCUAUAUCUUUCUUUAAGUAGAAUUUUUGAAUCAUCUUUAUGGUGAAGGUAAAUCUUCCCCUGAAAUGGCAGAAGUUUUUUUGCUUGAAUUGACCAGUCCUUGUAUACUUUUUGCUAUUUGUCAUGUUACAAAGUCUGUAAAUAUUUUUACCAACUGAUAACAAAAUCAAAAUGUCCCCCUGACCUGUAUCCAAAAACAUAUUCAUUUGCUAUUAGUCAUGCUUUUUCUAGCACUACUGGGUCAAAAUGACCUGUUCACUGGAUAUAGUGUCAGUGUGUCUUACGGAAUUCAGGAAGAGAAACUGUGAGGAUUAAAAUCAGAAUGAAAAGCGUAUGUUGAGCCUCACGUGAAGCAACGGUGUUUGAAUAGUCUCUUGUGUAGGCUUCCAGGCUAUUGCCUUGCUCAUGAUCAUAGUAAUCUUACAAAAUACCUUCUCACAGAAACAAAGGUAAAUAAUAAAAAACCUAGACUGGCACCUGUGAGUCCAGGUGUGAGCUGCAAAGCUGUUACAGCUGAGUGUUUUAAACACUGAUGGUCAUAAAUCCAGUUCAUUGUCCACUAACCACAUACUGUCAUGUCUUGUCAGGACUCACUUCAGGUUGCAACUGGAAUAUGGGAAAGGCUUUAUUUCAGGUUACCUGCAAACUCUUCUUGUGCUCCCUGCCCUUGCCUUUGAGCCUGGCUAAAUUUGAGGGAACCUCGGUGGGCAGCCAGUGCAGAAAACAGAAGUCUUGUGUUUGGCAAGAGCAGGAUUAUUUCCUAAUAGAAAGUCAAUUGUCUUUUUAACAACAGCAAGGACACGAACUCAGCAACAAUGAAACCAUUCCUUGCAUAGUCACAUGAAAGAAAGAGAAGUAAAACAACGAAUGCACUGUAAAUUAAGAUUAUACUAAUCAUGGUGAUACAGAAGAGGACUGAAAAGGGAGGUAUCAGAUGCCUCUCAAGGAGGAUCUUGGAGCAUUUUAAACCAACAUCACCUCAGAGCUUCUCAAAAUCCCAGUUGCUGGCAGAAGAUCCAAGUGGUAAAGAAGAGAAGUUGUGUAUUGGUGUCGUAAUUUUGCAGAGCGUCUGCUGCUUGUGUGUCUCUGCAGGUGUGUCAGCAGGAGCUGUCAGGAAAGGCAGUGUUCCUUCUACAUUUGGUGUGAGGUUUCCAUGCAGAGCCCUUUGUGAUCCUACCAGUAACGGCUAAAAACACGAUAAAAAUACACACAAACUGGUUUGGCUUCCAGUUAUAGGUAAUGCUUUAUCCUGGGGCACAUCAAACCCAAUGAGCUCCCCCUGAAAGGAGCGGUGAGUCUGAGUUUCAACACCUGGUGAUAUUAGGCUGGGACUGCAAAACUCAGCUGUCUGUGCAGGGCUUAUUUUUAGGCACGGGUGAGAUUCAGUGCUUAAUGCUGCUGGACACUGCUAAUAAAUCUGGGUAAGCAGCAGCA